Molecule: long non-coding RNA, 299 nt
Filed under: Brachypodium distachyon (stiff brome)
Lineage: Eukaryota; Viridiplantae; Streptophyta; Magnoliopsida; Poales; Poaceae
Description: long non-coding RNA (BDIS_LNC000891)
Source: RNAcentral
GUGAAACAAGUGAUAUUUCAUUAUACAAGUUUUGCCGCGCAAUCUGCGCGGGUCAACCCGCUAGUUGUACAUGAAUUUCGCAUUUGAAUUCUUGCAUGACUCCGAGAAAGAACAACUAGCACUUUAGCGUCACAACGAAUUGAAGGAAAAGAAAACGUGCAUCACUGGGGGAGCCGGGGAGCACCACCUCACAAGUCAGAAUCGUGUUCAUCGCCACGCAAAAGCCAUUCCUUCCCCAUGAGAGCUUUCAUGGUCAUCUUACUACAUGCCCCCCCGUCUGAAUCACCCCGCAUUCUCGU